CCAGUGAGAACCCAUGCAUGCACGGGGAGAACUUUCAAACUCCAUGCAGAAAGACCCCCGGCUGGGAGUCAAACCCAGGACCUUCUUGCUGCAAGGCAACAGUGCUACCAACUGCAGCCCCUAAUCUCUCAUAGCACCUAGCUGUGCCACAUCGCUCACACUAGAUUGUACGUACAACUAAACAGCUUUUUCCCUUUUGUAAUGCAUAAUCUAUAUGGAACAUUUACUAUUUAAAGUUGUAGUGGAUCAGAGUCAUCAAAUGGAGGUUUGGUGCAUAUAUUCUAAUAAUUUUAAAUCUUCUGACUCGGAAAAAGGAGAAGAAAAGCCCAAAACCCCAUAAUAGUGUACUCUAAUGUAAUUUCCUCUGGAAACAUACUAUAAAUAACACCAUUUGUAAGCUUCUUCCUUAAUGAGAAAAUUUAUAUUGUUUAGUAUUACCAGUAAGUACCACUGAAAAUUAUCUAUCCAGUGUCUAUUCCAGUGUUUUUCUGGGUAACUAAAACAAAAUCGACAAAAAUGUUGAAACAAUUUAUUUCAAAUAAUAAUUUAAUAUUAACCCCUAAAUUCUUUACAAGGUUCAUUUACAAAAUUUAUAAACUUGUAUUUGAUUCAUAGCAUUAAACAGCACAAUAGAAAUUGAUAAAGAGCCCUUCAAAAGGCAAUAAAACAUUCAUGGAGUAAUUUUUAAUAUAAUGAACGUUUUCUCUUUAUUUUUUUCUGGGAGUUUUGGGGAAUUGUUAUUGACAUUUAGUAACCAUAAUUUAAUACCAGCUACUGAGAAGCAUAUACAAAUUUUCAAACAUUUCAGAUUUUUGUUACAUUUUUUAUGGUUUUCACAUAAAAGUCAAGCAAAAUUCACUAUAAGUUUUGAUAAAAGGUCUUUCUUAAAAUAAUGAAAAUC
This is a long non-coding RNA of Girardinichthys multiradiatus, 901 nucleotides long. RefSeq lists it as uncharacterized. The transcript is spliced from 2 exons. The record is from RefSeq and is a predicted model, not a curated record. Lineage: Eukaryota; Metazoa; Chordata; Actinopteri; Cyprinodontiformes; Goodeidae.